AAAAUUUUUCGUUAUGUAUCAAAGAUAUUAAUAACAUUUAAUAAGAUUUGUUGAAAAAAAUUAAACAGAAAUAUGAGCCUAUACAAUUGAACGCAUCAACUUCGAAAAAAUAAAGCUGUCGUUUACACAAACUUUUAUUGAAUGAGAAACUUGAAUGAAAAAGGUGGAUAUAAAGGAUAUUUAAAAGGGAUUUAUAAAAUUAUUUAAGUCAAAUGUUCCGCAUAGACAUAUAUGCUACUCCAUUUUCAGUGGUUUUGCUUUUAAUUUCCUUAUCAACUUGGCUAUGCAUAUGUCGCUGGGGAUUUCGAUAUAACUUGAAAGAUCGAGAAGUAAUUAUUAGAUGUAUUAAUGUUUAAUAUAAUUAUUAUUAAUAGUUCGCUAUCAUAGUUUUAAAAAUUGUUCUGAACGACAAUCUAAUGGCAUUACCUAAUAACUAUAACUUUCAAGACAUAAAUAAUUUCGAUUUUGUACUUUAACAAUUAAUAUUCAGAUCCUUUCAUGCUUAAUCUUGUACUUCAUCGUUAUUACGCUAUUGAACAUGUUUUUCUUGGGCCAUAUGCAAUUUUAUUGUGAUUAUCCAAAAUGAAAUUGAAAAUUAACAAACAAUGAUUAUG
This is a long non-coding RNA of Megachile rotundata (alfalfa leafcutting bee), 614 nucleotides long. RefSeq lists it as uncharacterized. The record is from RefSeq and is a predicted model, not a curated record. NCBI's taxonomy places the organism in Eukaryota, Metazoa, Arthropoda, Insecta, Hymenoptera, Megachilidae.